GUGACCUCAAAUCAGGUAGGACUACCCGCUGAACUUAAGCAUAUCAAUAAGCGGAGGAAAAGAAACUAACAAGGAUUCCCCUAGUAACUGCGAGUGAAGCGGGAAAAGCUCAAAUUUAAAAUC
RNAcentral lists this ribosomal RNA (123 nucleotides) under Cortinarius tenuifulvescens. RNAcentral describes it as "partial 28S ribosomal RNA". It matches the Rfam family "Eukaryotic large subunit ribosomal RNA", at positions 1 to 122 of the family's 3401-position model. The record is from RNAcentral. Lineage: Eukaryota; Fungi; Basidiomycota; Agaricomycetes; Agaricales; Cortinariaceae.